Molecule: non-coding RNA, 668 nt
Organism: Schizosaccharomyces pombe (fission yeast)
Lineage: Eukaryota; Fungi; Ascomycota; Schizosaccharomycetes; Schizosaccharomycetales; Schizosaccharomycetaceae
Source: the annotation of a GenBank genome assembly
CUGUCUAGAUGCAAGCAAUAAAUUAUUAUUUUUAAGGGACUCAUCUUCAAAGUAAUUAUCGUUAAGGACAAAAAGUGCCUUCCCGUACUCGUGUCCUAACUUGUGUUGCUUCAAAACUUCAAGCAAAAUCCGUGUUUUUGGUUGACUUAAGUUGAUGGGAUUUUCAAGGAUGGUCAGUUCAUUAUUAAUAAAUCUUGUACUUAGCGCAAUCCUCAUUGCUAAAUUAUAAACUUGGGUUUGUAAUUUUGUACUGAAAUCUCUAGGCUUAGGACCAUGUGAUUUAGCACCACCUCUUCUUAUAGGACUUGAGGCAUCGCCUACCCGUGCAUGUCCUGUACCUUUUUGUCGAUAAAGUUUUCGACCGGAACAAGUAAUUUCAUUUCGGCGCUUUGAGCUAGCAGUGCCUUGACGGUCAUUAUCUGCUUCAUAAAUAACGGCACGAUGCAAAAUAUCUCGACGAAAUCUUUCUUGCAGGAAACUUCCGGGAAUAAGAAAAAGACUCGCGGGCUCCAACGACGGAAAUUUAUAUCGCACCAAGUGCAACAUUUUUGCUGUCAUUCUGAUUAGUUUGUGAAAUGGACGACUAGUACCUGAAGAAUGGAUGUAUUUUACUUUCAAUUAGUCUAACACAAUGUACUAAGUAUCACAAUGCAUUUCAUUAUAACAUA